Long non-coding RNA from Gadus morhua (Atlantic cod), 1723 nucleotides. NCBI's taxonomy places the organism in Eukaryota, Metazoa, Chordata, Actinopteri, Gadiformes, Gadidae. The record is from Ensembl.
GGAAAAUAAUGGGAUGAGUUGCGUUGCUCAGAUGCUUUUGAGCAACACACUAAUUUGUUUCCCCAGAGCCUGCUGCACCUUCCGUGAGCAUUCAGGAGACAGGGAGGAACAUCACUCUGGUGGGGACGCGGCUGUGCUGGUCAGACGCCCUGCUCUACUGCAGAGACUCUCACUGGGACCUGCUGAGCCUCAGGGGCCCAGAAGACCAGGAGAUGGUUGAUGAGAUGGUUGAUGAGCUGGUGGCUCGCGCCCCCUUCCCACUAACCAGCCACCUCUGGGUGGGCCUGCGCAGGUACUGGCCAGGCCUUAAGGGCUGAUUAUGGUUCCAAGUUGAUGCAACGCAAGGCGGUUGCUGGUCCACAAGGACAUACUGGGUACUGACCCAGUAUGUCCUUGUGGACCCUCUGUCUAUCAACCACAAUGAGCCUGACAUUCCCCUCCCAAAGAUUUGAACCUUGCGUCGAGGCGACGCAGCAGCAAUUGCUGCGAUUGGUCCGCUCACUAAAACCCGAUGCAGAACCAAAACCGGUUCACAACUGCAUCAAAGCGACUGCAUGGUCCUUGCGUUGAGUCGACGUGGUACCAUAGUCAGCCCCCUAGUGUCUAUCAAGCAAUCAAGUUAUUAUGAUCAUCUGUCUGUCAAUCACUUUGUCUGAUGAAACACCAUGAAACUACCAAAAGCUGAAUAUUCAGCCACAUUAUUCUUCCUUUCACCCUGGUCAAUCUUAAAUGUUGUUAGGUCCCUUUCAGGAAGCACCUGGUUUUGGAUGUCCGCUGACCCGAUGGACUUCAGCCAAUGGGACGAAGGCUCAUACCAUUCCUCCCCCUGUGGGGGCGUGUCCAGCGUGGAACCUUCCACAUGGAGGCAGCGCUCCUGUGAAGAACAUCUUAACUUCAUCUGUUUCACAGGUCAGACAGAAGGAGUGAACAAGUUGCACUUUUAUAGUUCCACAAGAGAGAAUCAAGCUCGCUGCACCUUACUUGGCCGCCCUGGGGAAUAAAGCGGCAGAUUCUGAAGACGUCCUGAGGAUUGAAGGUUCUAAAUGAAGUAGCUCAGAGUGUCUGUUUUGUCUGCUAGCUGGUUCUGCAUUUUGUCAUUAUGGGCUUCAUGAAAGGCCACAUUUAUUCCCAGCAUAGCAUAAAGGAUAUAUUUACUUUGGUAUAUAAUCAAUAAACGUAUUUAUUAGCAGAUGUAGGUGCAUCAUUCCUUUGUUAAGAAAUGUGGAGAAUGUGAGUUCAAGAUGGUAUCAAAAGACUAGAUGAAGUAUCUGUUGGCUUUAUCUCUGUCUGGCUUGACUGAUGUGAUGUGUUUUAAUAAUGUUAACGCUUUAACCAGUAGUGAAUGUGCUGGUUUGUCUUUCUUUUGCAUAUGAAUGGAACGUAGAUAAUGUUCUUCAAUAAAAGUCUUCGCCGUUGUCCACAAAUUCCUUGCGGGUACUGUGUUUGUUUUUAUCCCCCUGUCGCACGGAAGUGACGAUUCUGUCGACCAAUCAACGAACGGCGCGUGUAUCUUGAAGGCGUUGGCACCCUUUCAGACGUCUCUGUACCCCAACGGAGGAGUACUGCGAGAUGAGGACGGCUCAUCAUGGCUCAGUCUGGACCCCGCCCACUUUAGUUAUUUUCACACCUUUGCACAUCGAACCAACCCGCACCCGCUGGGGGUAACGCGCCAUAAUAUUUAUGUAUAUAUUUUCAUUUGGGGGAGGGCGUCUUCAAACAGUGA